AGACCCGAAACCCGGUGAUCUAGCCAUGGGCAGGUUGAAGGUUGGGUAACACUAACUGGAGGACCGAACCGACUAAUGUUGAAAAAUUAGCGGAUGACCUGUGGCUGGGGGUGAAAGGCCAAUCAAACCGGGAGAUAGCUGGUUCUCCCCGAAAGCUAUUUAGGUAGCGCCUCGUGAAUUCAUCUCCGGGGGUAGAGCACUGUUUCGGCUAGGGGGCCAUCCCGGCUUACCAACCCGAUGCAAACUGCGAAUACCGGAGAAUGUUAUCACGGGAGACACACGGCGGGUGCUAACGUCCGUCGUGAAGAGGGAAACAACCCAGACCGCCAGCUAAGGUCCCAAAGUCAUGGUUAAGUGGGAAACGAUGUGGGAAGGCCCAGACAGCCAGGAUGUUGGCUUAGAAGCAGCCAUCAUUUAAAGAAAGCGUAAUAGCUCACUGGUCGAGUCGGCCUGCGCGGAAGAUGUAACGGGGCUAAACCAUGCACCGAAGCUGCGGCAGCGACACUCAGGUGUUGUUGGGUAGGGGAGCGUUCUGUAAGCCUGCGAAGGUGGCCUGUGAGGGUUGCUGGAGGUAUCAGAAGUGCGAAUGCUGACAUAAGUAACGAUAAAGCGGGUGAAAAGCCCGCUCGCCGGAA
This 635-nucleotide ribosomal RNA is filed under the name Salmonella enterica subsp. enterica serovar Infantis. Its description in RNAcentral is "partial 23S ribosomal RNA". It matches the Rfam family "Bacterial large subunit ribosomal RNA", at positions 711 to 1342 of the family's 2925-position model. RNAcentral also lists the same sequence under 1 other name. The record is from RNAcentral. Lineage: Bacteria; Pseudomonadati; Pseudomonadota; Gammaproteobacteria; Enterobacterales; Enterobacteriaceae.